This 253-nucleotide ribosomal RNA is filed under the name uncultured bacterium. Its description in RNAcentral is "partial 16S ribosomal RNA". It matches the Rfam family "Bacterial small subunit ribosomal RNA", at positions 524 to 776 of the family's 1533-position model. The record is from RNAcentral.
UACGUAGGGGGCGAGCGUUGUCCGGAAUUACUGGGCGUAAAGGGUGCGUAGGCGGCCUGAGAAGUCAUGUGUGAAAUACCUGGGCUCAACCUGGGUGUUGCACAUGAAACUGGCGGGCUUGAGUGCAGGAGAGGGAAGUGGAAUUCCUAGUGUAGCGGUGAAAUGCGUAGAGAUUAGGAGGAACACCAGUGGCGAAGGCGGCUUCCUGGCCUGUAACUGACGCUGAGGCACGAAAGCGUGGGGAGCAAACAGG